UUACUGAGUUUACGCUCUAUAACCCUUUGUGAACAUACCUAUAACUGUUGCUUCGGCGGGUAGGGUCUCCGCGACCCUCCCGGCCUCCCGCCCCCGGGCGGGUCGGCGCCCGCCGGAGGAUAACCAAACUCUGAUUUAACGACGUUUCUUCUGAGUGGUACAAGCAAAUAAUCAAAACUUUUAACAACGGAUCUCUUGGUUCUGGCAUCGAUGAAGAACGCAGCGAAAUGCGAUAAGUAAUGUGAAUUGCAGAAUUCAGUGAAUCAUCGAAUCUUUGAACGCACAUUGCGCCCGCCAUCAUUCUGGCGGGCAUGCCUGUUCGAGCGUCAUUUCAACCCUCAAGCUCUGCUUGGUGUUGGGGCCCUACAGCUGAUGUAGGCCCUCAAAGGUAGUGGCGGACCCUCCCGGAGCCUCCUUUGCGUAGUAACUUUACGUCUCGCACUGGGAUCCGGAGGGACUCUUGCCGUAAAACCCCCAAUUUUCCAAAGGUUGACCUCGGAUCAGGUAGGAAUACCCGCUGAACUUAAGCAUAUCAAUAAGCGGAGGAAAAGAAACCAACAGGGAUUGCCUCAGUAACGGCGAGUGAAGCGGCAACAGCUCAAAUUUGAAAUCUGGCCCUAGGCCCGAGUUGUAAUUUGCAGAGGAUGCUUUUGGUGCGGUGCCUUCCAAGUUCCCUAGAACGGGACGCCAGAGAGGGUGAGAGCCCCGUACAGUUGGACACCAAGCCUUUGUAAAGCUCCUUCGACGAGUCGAGUAGUUUGGGAAUGCUGCUCAAAAUGGGAGGUAUAUUUCUUCUAAAGCUAAAUACCGGCCAGAGACCGAUAGCGCACAAGUAGAGUGAUCGAAAGAUGAAAAGCACUUUGAAAAGAGGGUUAAACAGCACGUGAAAUUGUUAAAAGGGAAGCGCUUGUGACCAGACUUGCGUCCGGUGAAUCACCCAGCUCUCGCGGCUGGGGCACUUCGCCGGCUCAGGCCAGCAUCAGCUCGCUGUCGGGGACAAAAGCUUCAGGAACGUAGCUCUCUUCGGGGAGUGUUAUAGCCUGUUGCAUAAUACCCUUCGGCGGGC
RNAcentral lists this unclassified non-coding RNA (1066 nucleotides) under leaf metagenome. RNAcentral describes it as "partial contains internal transcribed spacer 1, 5.8S ribosomal RNA, internal transcribed spacer 2, and large subunit ribosomal RNA". The stretch from base 491 to 1066 matches the Rfam family "Eukaryotic large subunit ribosomal RNA", at positions 1 to 588 of the family's 3401-position model. The record is from RNAcentral.